AGCUAAUAGAUACCCAGGUAGUCCACGCCCUAAACGAUGUCUACUAGUUGUCGGGUCUUCAUUGACUUGGUAAACGCAGCUAAACGCGUGAAGUAGACCGCCUGGGGAGUACGGUCGCAAGAUUAAAACUCAAAGGAAUUGACGGGGACCCGCACAAGCGGUGGAUGAUGUGGAUUAAUUCGAUGCAACGCGAAAACCUUACCUACCCUUGACAUGGUCGGAACCCUGAAGAGAUUCGGGGGUGCUCGAAAGAGAACCGAUACACAGGUGCUGCAUGGCUGUCGUCAGCUCGUGUCGUGAGAUGUUGGGUUAAGUCCCGCAACGAGCGCAACCCUUGUCAUUAGUUGCUACGAAAGGGCACUCUAAUGAGACUGCCGGUGACAAACCGGAGGAAGGUGGGGAUGACGUCAAGUCCUCAUGGCCCUUAUGGGUAGGGCUUCACACGCCAUACAAUGGUGCAUACAGAGGGUUUGCCAACCCGCGAGGGGAGCCAAUCCCAGAAACGUGCAUCGUAGUCCGGAUUGCAGUCUGC
Molecule: ribosomal RNA, 532 nt
Filed under: uncultured bacterium
Lineage: Bacteria
Description: bacterial SSU rRNA
Rfam family: Bacterial small subunit ribosomal RNA
Source: RNAcentral